GAGAGAGCGGUAGUAAGAGACAGGGAGGGAGGGAGGCAGAGAGAGCGGUAGUAGGAGACAGGGAGGGAGGCAGAGAGAGCGGUAGUAGGAGACAGGGAGGGAGGGAGUGAUGAAACAAACAAAAAAGUUGUGUAACGUAUCUUUACUCCAGACCUACAGCUAGGCUCAAUGUUCCUCACCUGCCCCAGACCUACAGCUAGGUUCAAUGUUCCUCACCUGCCCCAGACCUACAGCUAGGCUCAAUAUUCCUCACCAGCCCAAACCUACAGCUAGGUUCAAUGUUCCUCACCUGCCCCAGACCUACAGCUAGGUUCAAUGUUCCUCACCAGCCCAAACCUACAGCUACGUUCAAUGUUGUUUGUUUAUUCAAUGUGCUAGGUUCAAUGUUCCACACCGUCCCCAGACCUACAGCUAGGCUCAAUGUUCCUCACCUGCCCCAGACCUACAGCUAGGCUCAAUGUUCCUCACCAACCCAAAGAGUGCUGUACAAACACACAGAACAUACAGGCACAUGUAGGGUUGCAAAAUUCCUGGAACGUUCAAUACACUUCCAGGUUUUCCAGAAAUAGUGAUGAGAGGAUUCUGUAUUUCCUGCUUAUUCCCUCCUGAUUUCGGGAAUCCUUCAA
Long non-coding RNA from Oncorhynchus tshawytscha (Chinook salmon), 626 nucleotides. NCBI's taxonomy places the organism in Eukaryota, Metazoa, Chordata, Actinopteri, Salmoniformes, Salmonidae. The record is from Ensembl.